GCUAAUACCGGAUAACAUGUUGAACCGCAUGGUUCAACAGUGAAAGACGGUCUUGCUGUCACUUAUAGAUGGAUCCGCGCCGCAUUAGCUAGUUGGUAAGGUAACGGCUUACUAAGGCAACGAUGCGUAGCCGACCUGAGAGGGUGAUCGGCCACACUGGAACUGAGACACGGUCCAG
RNAcentral lists this ribosomal RNA (178 nucleotides) under uncultured Staphylococcus sp. Its description in RNAcentral is "partial 16S ribosomal RNA". It matches the Rfam family "Bacterial small subunit ribosomal RNA", at positions 162 to 334 of the family's 1533-position model. The record is from RNAcentral. Lineage: Bacteria; Bacillati; Bacillota; Bacilli; Caryophanales; Staphylococcaceae.